Molecule: ribosomal RNA, 276 nt
Filed under: uncultured bacterium
Lineage: Bacteria
Description: partial 16S ribosomal RNA
Rfam family: Bacterial small subunit ribosomal RNA
Source: RNAcentral
UACGGAGGGGGUUAGCGUUGUUCGGAAUUACUGGGCGUAAAGCGCGCGUAGGCGGGUUGUUAAGUUAGAGGUGAAAUCCCGGGGCUCAACCCCGGAACUGCCUUUAAUACUGGCAACCUAGAGUUCGAGAGAGGUGAGUGGAAUUCCGAGUGUAGAGGUGAAAUUCGUAGAUAUUCGGAGGAACACCAGUGGCGAAGGCGGCUCACUGGCUCGAUACUGACGCUGAGGUGCGAAAAGUGUGGGGGAGCAAAACAGGAUUAGAUACCCCCGUAGUCC